GCCGGGUAUGUGGCUGGCGCGUGCCUGUAAUCCAAGUUACUUGGAGGCUGAGACUGGUGGAUCGUUUGAGCUCAGGGAUCAACUGAGCUACAGUGGAACUAUGUCGAAUCGGGUGUGUGUCCCAAUAAGUUCGGUAUCGAUAUUGGUGCUCCUGGGCGAGCCGGACCACCAGGUCGUCUAAGGAGCGUGUGCACCGGCCAGGUCGGAAACGGAGCAGGCCAAAGCCCCCGUGUGCUCAGUAGUGGGGAUCGCCGCAGCUGGUGAAUAUAGGCUGUUAUCGCUAUCCUGAGCUAAUUACAGCGUGACCCAGUCUUUU
Molecule: signal recognition particle RNA, 316 nt
Filed under: Neogobius melanostomus (round goby)
Lineage: Eukaryota; Metazoa; Chordata; Actinopteri; Gobiiformes; Gobiidae
Description: Metazoan signal recognition particle RNA (ENSNMLG00000001211.1)
Rfam family: Metazoan signal recognition particle RNA
About the family: The signal recognition particle (SRP) is a universally conserved ribonucleoprotein. It is involved in the co-translational targeting of proteins to membranes.
Source: Rfam by way of RNAcentral